UAGACAUUUCAUCAGCCACUAAGGAGCAC
RNAcentral lists this non-coding RNA (29 nucleotides) under Bombyx mori (domestic silkworm). Lineage: Eukaryota; Metazoa; Arthropoda; Insecta; Lepidoptera; Bombycidae. The record is from RNAcentral.